Molecule: transfer RNA, 774 nt
Filed under: uncultured cyanobacterium
Lineage: Bacteria; Bacillati; Cyanobacteriota
Description: partial contains 16S ribosomal RNA, 16S-23S ribosomal RNA intergenic spacer, and 23S ribosomal RNA
Rfam family: tRNA (bases 267-339)
Source: RNAcentral
CAGGGAGACAAAAUAAGAUCAUGAUGUCUGAGUUUUUUCUACUCUUAGGCCAUGAUCCUGUCACCUUAGGUCGAUCGGUACCUCAAUUUAAGAGUCAAAUAAAGGCUGAAUUUCAGUUUUAGAUUUGAUAAUUAACUUCAGUUCCUAAACUUUGUCUAGGUCACACCCAGCAAGGGUACUCCUGGGCCAUUAGCUCAGGUGGUUAGAGCGCACCCCUGAUAAGGGUGAGGUCCCUGGUUCAAGUCCAGGAUGGCCCAUUCGGUGUUGGGGGUAUAGCUCAGUUGGUAGAGCGCCUGCUUUGCAAGCAGGAUGUCAGCGGUUCGAGUCCGCUUACCUCCACUGAUCAACCUCUUAAUAACGAAAUCAAAGGAGAUUUUCGUUGCUGAUGUGAUUUAGAUUUCUAUUUGAAUGAACCUAGCUUCCUAUCAUCCUUUAAUCUGAAUAUUAAUUAGAUUUGGUCGAUAGGACGCUGGGCUCACUGCAGUUCUUUUGAAUUGCAAUGAUGUUCAGUAGAACCUUGACAACUGCAUAGGUGAGUUUGGAAAGAAUAAAGCAUCUCAUGGAUGCAUUAUUUCUUUUUGAUUAAUGAAAACACUUGCUAUCAAAGCAUUUUUUGCUUUAAUCAAUAGAAUAAUGUUUAAUUCUUGAGCAAGAGCCGAGACUCUAUAGAGUUCUGUUAUUGAUUUGUUCACUAACAGUUAGAUCAUUAAUUAGACACCUAUUUAAUUAAUGAGAAAGUGCUAACGAAAGCACUUGCUCUAUGGAGGAUUAUUU